CAUUAUCGUACAACAUGUGUGAGGCGUGCGAGGGCUGUCGCUGACUUCAAAGUCGUGCACGCCGGAGCGCGUCCUCUCACAUUAAAUCCAUCUCCCCUUUUGUGCACCACCGCGUGGGCACCCUUUUGGGAUCGAAUCGAUCCAGGAGGGGGGCUUGCGUUUUCACACAAACCCCUUUUAAAAAGUGUAGAAUGACCCCACUUUGCGAUGACACGCAAUCAAUACAACUUUCAACAACGGAUCUCUUGGCUCUCGCAUCGAUGAAGAACGCAGCGAAAUGCGAUACGUAAUGUGAAUUGCAGAAUUCAGUGAAUCAUCGAAUCUUUGAACGCACCUUGCGCCCCUUGGUAUUCCGAGGGGCACACCCGUUUGAGUGUCGUGAAAAUCUCAACCUUCUCGGUUUUCUUUUGGACACCGAAGGAGGCUUGGACUUUGGAGGCCUCUGCUGGCGUCUCUCUCUUUUCGAGAGCCAGCUCCUCUUAAAUGAAUUAGCGGGGUCCUCUUUGCCGAUCCUCGACAUGUGAUAAGAUGUUUCCAUGACUUGGUUUCUGGCUCUGUUGCCUUUGGGACCCGCUUCUAACCGUCUCGACGAGACAACGUUUGGGCGUGUCUCCCUUCUCGGGAAACACUCUCAACCCCACGAACCCUUGACCU
Molecule: small RNA, 654 nt
Filed under: Lactarius semisanguifluus
Lineage: Eukaryota; Fungi; Basidiomycota; Agaricomycetes; Russulales; Russulaceae
Description: eukaryotic LSU rRNA
Rfam family: 5.8S ribosomal RNA (bases 226-379)
Source: RNAcentral